AACGAACGCUGGCGGCGUGCUUAACACAUGCAAGUCGAACGAGAAGUACGUAGCAAUACGUAUUGUAAAGUGGCGCACGGGUGAGUAACACGUGGGUAAUCUGCCCUUGAGUUUGGGAUAACCCCGCGAAAGCGGGGCUAAUACCGAAUAAGACCACGAAGACCAAAGUCUUUGGGGUAAAAGGUGGCCUCUAUUUAUAAGCUAUCACUUAAGGAUGAGCCCGCGGCCCAUUAGCUAGUUGGCAGGGUAACGGCCUACCAAGGCUAUGAUGGGUAGCUGGUCUGAGAGGACGAUCAGCCACACUGGAACUGAGACACGGUCCAGACUCCUACGGGAGGCAGCAGUGGGGAAUAUUGCGCAAUGGGCGAAAGCCUGACGCAGCAACGCCGCGUGGGGGAUGAAGGUUCUCGGAUUGUAAACCCCUUUCGAUCGGAACGAAUCCCCUCCUGGUAAAUAAUCAGGAGGAUCGACGGUACCGAGAGAAGAAGCCACGGCUAACUCUGUGCCAGCAG
This 512-nucleotide ribosomal RNA is filed under the name uncultured bacterium. RNAcentral's name for it is "bacterial SSU rRNA". It matches the Rfam family "Bacterial small subunit ribosomal RNA", at positions 29 to 514 of the family's 1533-position model. The record is from RNAcentral.